This 24-nucleotide ribosomal RNA is filed under the name Neurospora africana. RNAcentral describes it as "partial 18S ribosomal RNA". Lineage: Eukaryota; Fungi; Ascomycota; Sordariomycetes; Sordariales; Sordariaceae. The record is from RNAcentral. RNAcentral also lists the same sequence under 4 other names.
GGUGAACAGCGGAGGGAUCAUUAC